CUUUUUAAUCAGUCAUUAGUAUGCGGGUCCCAUCGCAAUUAUUACAAGAUAAGAAUUAAUAUAAUAAUCAAAAUAUCUAGUUUCACGCUUAUCGAGACAAACUGGAUAAUUAUCAACAAUUCAAAUACCCGCAAAACUCCGCCGGACCGACUCCGGGAAAAACCGUACUCCGGAUCGAAAAAGUCAAAACACGAAAAAUGUCCGGAAUAUUCAAAUUAGGCAAAAGGUGAGUUUUGUUGAAACUUCCGGGAAGAAAAUUUGCUACCUCGUUACGAGUGGACGGUUUUUACGGAAAUCAAAUAAUUAAUCAAUAAAUAUAAAUAUACGCCAUUAAAUCCGUAAACCGAUUAUAAAA
RNAcentral lists this long non-coding RNA (355 nucleotides) under Daucus carota (carrot). RNAcentral's name for it is "long non-coding RNA (DCAR_LNC005382)". The record is from RNAcentral. Lineage: Eukaryota; Viridiplantae; Streptophyta; Magnoliopsida; Apiales; Apiaceae.